ACGACGCUGGCGGUGUGCUUCACACAUGCAAGUCGAACGAGGUAGCAAUACCUAGUGGCGGACGGGUGAGUAACGCGUGGGAAUCUGCCUUUAGAUGGGGGAUAACGGGUCGAAAGACUCGCUAAUACCGCAUAUGACGAAAGUUGAAAGGAGUAAUCCGUCUAAAGAUGAGCCCGCGUCCGAUUAGCUAGUUGGUAGAGUAAAAGCCUACCAAGGCGACGAUCGGUAGCUGGUCUGAGAGGAUGAUCAGCCACAAUGGGACUGAGACACGGCCCAUACUCCUACGGGAGGCAGCAGUGGGAAUUUUACGCAAUGGGCGAAAGCCUGACGUAGCGACACCGCGUGAGCGAAGAAGCCCCUUGGGGUGUAAAGCUCUGUCAGCUGGAACGAAAAAAUGACGGUACCAGCAGAGGAAGCAUCGGCUAACUACGUG
This 433-nucleotide ribosomal RNA is filed under the name uncultured bacterium. RNAcentral describes it as "bacterial SSU rRNA". It matches the Rfam family "Bacterial small subunit ribosomal RNA", at positions 33 to 507 of the family's 1533-position model. The record is from RNAcentral.